Gorilla gorilla gorilla (western lowland gorilla) is the source of this 6418-nucleotide long non-coding RNA. RefSeq lists it as uncharacterized. The transcript is spliced from 5 exons. NCBI's taxonomy places the organism in Eukaryota, Metazoa, Chordata, Mammalia, Primates, Hominidae. The record is from RefSeq and is a predicted model, not a curated record.
ACAAUGUUAGGGUUUCCCAAUUAACAUUUCCUUGGAGAUGAACCCAAUUAAUUGUUCAGCCCCCAACAGCAAUAAAUGCAGUCUUCUAAACGCAAUGAAUCAGGUAACCUCUCACACCUGGGUACAUCCCAACUUAGUAGCAUUAACAAGAAAAAUGGACUUAAGAAAAACAUUAAAAAUAUGACUCAAACAUUUACUUUUAGGGCAGAAAAAGAGGGAUGGAAACUUAUAUUACUUUCCAAAAAGUAAAGAUGUUAAUGGCCUCUUAUAGAAAUUAAAACUGCAAACAGGCUAGUAUUCCCAGGCCAUUUUACAGAAACAUUUAAGACCAUCCCAAACUAAAAGAAAUGCUUGCCUUGCUGAAAUGGGAAAUGGUUCUGUCUUCACCAGCCUAUGAAAACCAACGUCCCAAGUCUGCAUAUCUCACAAGUAUCUCUUCCAAGUUUCAGAUUUGUUUAUCUGAGAUAGCCAGCUUCUCCAAACAAAUUGAAAACUAGAGGCAAAGAUACCUAAAUCAAACAUUUAAAUAUAUUCUUCAAGAUAUAACACAGUGCUGUGGCAGGCAACUCGAUGAACAGCAUGAAUUAAAUGUUGGAAAAAAGUAUCAUUGCAAGGUUAGGCAUCUUUACCCUUGUCUCACGGAUAAAUCCCUUUAAAGUUCUGUUGGCCUGUGGGUUCAUGUGCUCACUUUUCAGUACACAGAGUAAGUUCUUCAGAUCCCAAGUUUUCUAAAACCGAAUACAAGCCGCCUCCGCCAAAUACUUUUGAAAAAUGUUUAAUAAUCUUUUUUUCUUUAUUAAGGGCCCAGCUUUACUGGAGUAUGGUGCUCCCUCAGCCAAGGGCAUAUCGUUUCCAACUCCCGAAUGGGUAACUAAGCAGGCUGAUUUCUCAUCUUCUGGAAAAGACGACAACUACAUCUGGGAAGACGAGCCUCACACUCUGCACUUACAUGCACUUCCUUGACCAUAUAAAUUCUGGCCCACCACAAAGAGGGCCAAACAUGAGGCUUGUCAUUCUUAUAUCCCAAUCUAGUUCCCAAAGUCUUUACUGCAGUGGUUCCUGGGGUGGGGGCAGUGGUUUCCGGACCAGCAGCAUCAGUAUCUCUUGGGAACUUGUUACCAAUGCACAUUCUCUGGCCCCAGCCCAGGACCUACUGAACCAGCACCUCUGGGAGCUGAGGCGCAGCUCCCCAGGUAAAUGAUGCCCUCAAGUUUGAGAACUAGUGUUGCACUGCAGUCGCUGUCAAACCUUGUUGUACCCUCAGAGCCUGCAGGUGGCACUAAAGGCCAGAAGGAAGAAUUGCAGGAGCUGGUAGCUCAAGUUUUUAACUGUUAAGAGUUCCUGCCCCCCUGACCACACAGCUCUUUCUAGCAGUUCCAACAGCUGCUCAGUCUCCCCCAAUGCCUUAAAAGGUCACAGUAGAUCUCAGCUCUGAACAGAAACUCAACUGAAACUCUUCCCACAACCCAGCAGUGGAUACAUUAAAACCUACAAUUUUCAGGGAUACAAUCAAUAUUUAAUUCUUUUGAGGGUUUUGUGUUUAAUACAAAGACACAAACACGUAUAAAAUGACGAUGUCAAUACUGAUUAAACAGAACAACAAAAUAAGAAGCUCAAAUUAUCAUCAGCUAUUGUGUAUAUCUGAAAUAACAAUAAUGCACUCGAUUCUGAAAGAAUGAUUAGAGUUCCUACCCUGCAAAUCUAAUUGUCUUGAUGUGACGAAGUGAGAAGAAAGGAUGAUUUUUCUAAUGAAAAGCAUGUAUACGGGUAGCCCUUUGCGAGAUUCUGUCAAAACCCUGAAUUUUGCGUUAGCUGUUUUACCACCCAAACGUUUUUACUGAGGAUGUGCAGCAAUGGGAACUCUCAUACACUGCUUGUGGGAAUAUAAAUCAGUAUAACCACUUUGGAAAACCAUUUAACAUUGUCAACUACAGCUCUACACACAAGUACUAGAACCAGCCAUUCCACUCCAGGGUAUACACCCCAGAGAUAUGAGUGCCCAUGUCUACCAAAAGCCGCCUAAAGGAAUGCUCUGAGAAGUGUAACUUGUAAUAGUUGCAAACUGGAAACAACCCAAAUGUCCAUCCACAGUAGAGAUACAUAGUAUGGAUACUCAUACAAUUAAACAGAAGCAGCAAUGAAAAAACUAACCAACCAACCAAACAACUGCUACAACAUGAAUGAAUUUCACAAGGAUGAAUCUUUCAGAGUGAAAGAAGCCAGACACAAAGGGGUACACUCUUAUUCAAACAGGCACCUCUGGUGACAGAGGUCAGCAUAGAGGUUCCUGGGGCUAUCUAGGAACAGGCAUGAGGUGUUAUUGGAAACAGUCUACAUCUUGAAUUGGGGGAUGGCUACUAGGGUGGUGUAUACGUAUGAAAAGUUCAGUGAGUUGCAUACUUAAAAUCCGUACACUUUAUGUAUGUUUUAUUUUUAGAGGCAAAAAAAUAUUAUUGACAGCCUGUCAUGUAAACAUUUUCAAUAACCAUCAUAAAACUCUAAACUCCUGGGAAAGAAUAUUGUUAUCAGAGUAUAUUUACUGCAACAAACACUGCAUUUGCUGAGCUAAACUCAAAACUUAAUACAGGGAACAGGAGAUGUUCCUUUUUUCCAAUGUUACAUAUAUAAAAAGACCAAACCUUUCUGGCUUGCACUCCCUAGGCCAAAUUCCUUUAACUGUGUCAUUUAAUCGGUCCUUCCUUGUGUGGCACUGGCUGUCCACUGUCCCAAGCCCUCGCAUGUCCUGGAUGGCCGGUCAUCAUCCACACGGGGGCUGAAAGGCCCGGCUCCAGCACUCCUGUGGUCAUCAUCCUGCUGAAUCGCUUUGAACUACCCUUGGCCUAACCACGACUCCCAUCCCGCUUCCCUCCUGCCUCGCCACUGCAGGCCUGUGCCUUUGCUUUCUUAAAACUGCGCACCGUCUGAGGCCACUUCGAGCCUACUGGAUCCCUGGUUCCAACCCAGUAGGAUCACAGAAGCAGGGCCAGCUGCCAGGAGAAAAAGUUGUUCUCUUCUACCAAAUUUUCCUGCCAUCAAAUGCUCAUUGAGUGACAAUAGAGAAAGCACCAUCAUCCUCAAGCAUCAGAUUGGGAGAAAAGUCCGCUCUCGAGAGCAUCAACUAUGUAGAAAGGGGACCAAGUAAAGGCAAAAUAGACCUUCAGAGAAAUAAAGUCUGGGAAAUUGACUAGAUCCUCACUGAAAGAACUACUAAAGGAUGUACUUAUGGAAGAAGAAAAUUACGAAAUGAAAGAACUGGGAUGCAAGAAGUAAUGUCCAGACUGGCUGGAGCCUCUCCAGGCAGCGCAGAGUCAAGGCAGGAACCAGCCCUGGACAGGACACCAUCCCAUUGCAGUAUGCACUCUCAUACACCCAUACUCCCCCAGACCGGGACACUUCAGACACGCCAACUCACCUAAUGCGCGGCUCUCUGGGAGGGCUGCUCCUGUGCCAUGAGGAGUAAGGGAGAUGGCUCACAGCUGGUCUCUACACAUGUUAGCUAUUUGCCUUAUUACACUCACAGAUAGGGCAGCUUAGAGUACAGUAAGUUUCUCUAUUCUACAUCAUUUGUUUGCCACAUACACCUAUGUCUUUUUCUUCUUUUAGCAAUGACUAUUACUUUUCUGUGAUACCUCUUUAAGCUAUAUAAUGCCCAACAUUCUAUCUUAAGCAAAAUACUUAGCCACACAUCUUUAAAACCGCAAAGACCUACUAAAGUUUUAAGCUGUAACUAAAAUUUUGUAACUAAAUGCACCUCAUAUCCCUACAGAUCCAACAUGCCAUAAUAUCAACAUCCCUGAAGCUGAAAUUUGUGCCAUACUCCCAUGGUGCUUUCAAAGUUCCUGGGGCUGUUAAAAGGCCCUGCAGCUGUUGUUUUCAUUAGCACCUGAAGUGCAUAGGAGGUGCUCUGACAGUAUUUGUCAAUCAUCAUCUACUGCCUCAAAAUGAUGCCAAACACAAACUUUCCCACAAAGGAAAUUGUGUCAAAGUUAAUUCUUCAACAGUAGCUCUUAAUGCACCAAAGAAAAUUGACUUGUAUUCGGCUUAUCUUCUUUUGAAUGUCAUGAGUGAUAUAUAAUUUGAUAAAAAAAUUGCUUCUCCCCAUUCUACUUUUUCUUUUUGUUUUUUUGAGGGGAGGUUUUAUUAUUAUUAUUAUUAUUGUGAAAAAACACAAAACAUAAAAUUUAACAUCUUAACCUUUUUUUUGGUUUUUUUGAGACGGAGUCUUACUGUGUUGCCUAGGCUGGAGUGCAGUGGCGCCAUCUCUGCUCACUGCAACCUCCGACUCCUGGGUUCAAGUGAUUCUCCUGCCUCAGCCUCCCAAGUAGCUGGGAUUACAGGCGUGCGCCACCCCGCCCAACUAAUUUUUGUAUUUUUAGUAGAGAUGGAGUUUUGCCAUGUUGGCCAGGCUGGUCUUGAACUCCUGAUCUCAAAUGAUCUGCCCGCCUCAGCCUCCCAAAGUGCUGGGAUUAAAGGCAUAAGCCACCACGCCCAGCCCAUCUUAACCAUUUUUAAGUGGCAUUAAGUACAUUCACAUUGUCGUGAAACAGAUCUCCAGAACUUUUUUAUCUCGCAAAACUGAAACUCUAUGCCCAUUAAAAAAAUCCUCAUUUUCUUUUGCUUCCAGCCCCUGGUAACCACCAUUCUGCUUUCUGUCUCUAUGAAUUUGACUACUUUAGAUACCUCAUGUAAGCAGAAUCACAGUAUUUGUCUUUUUGUUAACUGGCUUAUUUUACUUAGCAUAAUGUCCUCAUGGUUCAUCUAUGUUGCAGCAUGUGACAGAACUUUCUUACUUUUUAAGGCUGAAUAAUAUCCCAUUUUAUGAAUUUACUACAUUUUGUUUAUCCAUUCAUGUCAAUGGACAUUUGUGUUGCUUGUAGCUCUUGACUAUAGAGAAUCAUGCUGCUCUGAACGUGAAUGUACAAAUAUCUCUUCAAUAUACUGACUUCAAAUUAUUUGGAUAUAUAUCCAGAAGUGGAAUUGCUGGAUCAUAUGGUAGUUCUAUUUUUAAUAUUUUGAGGAACCUCUAUACUGUUUUCCAUAGCAGCUGCACAAUUUUACAGGCCCACCAAUUGUGCAUAAAGGUUCCAAUUUCUCCACCUCAUCAUCAACACUCGAUAUUUUAUGUUUAUUGUUUUUUUUUUAGAGUAACCAUCCUAAGAGUGUGAGGUAAUAUCUCAUUGUAGUUUUGAUUUGCAUUUCUCUGAUAAAUAGUAACAUUGAGCAGCUUUUCAUAUGCUUGUUGACCAUUUGUAUCUCUUUGGAGAAAGGCUUAUUUAAUUCAUUUGCCUAUUUUUUAAUUGGUUCAUUUGAUUUUUUGUGGUUGAGUUGUAGAAGUUUUUAUGUAUUCUGGAUAUUAACCCCUUAUCACAUAUAUGAUUUGCAAAUAUUUUCUUCCAUUCUGUAGGUUGCCUUGUCACUUUGUUGAUUGCUUCCUUUGAUGAACAAGAAUUGUUUAAAUUUGAUAUAAUCCCAUUCAUCUAUUUUAUCUUUUUUUGCCUGUGCUAUUGGUGUUGUAUUCAAGAAAUCAUUGCCAAGUCCAAUGUCAUGGAGCUUUUCCCCUAGGUUUUCUUCUAGGGGUUUUAUAGUUUUGGGUUUUUCAUUUGGUCUUUAAUCCAUUUUGAGCUAGCUUUUGUGUGUGGUAUAAGAGAAGAGUCCAACUUUAUUCUUUUGCAUGUGGCUAUUCAAUUUUCCCAACACUAUUUGUUGAAGAGGCUGCUCUUCUCUCAUUAAGUGGUGUUGGUAUCCUUGUUGAAGAUCACUUGACCAUAUAUGUGAGGGUUUAUUUCUGAGUUCUCACCUCUGUUCCAUUGGUCUGUAUAUCUUUCUUUAUCCCAGUAUGACACUGUUUUGAUUACUGUAGUUUUGUAAUAUAUUUUGAAAUCAGAAAGUAUGUAUCCUCCAACUUUGUUCUUUUUCCAAAUCGUUUUGGCUAUUCAGGGUAACUUGACAUUCCAUAUGGAUUUUAGGAUAAAUUUUUCUGUUUCUAAAAAAAAUGCCAUUGGAAUUUUGAUAGAAAUUGCAUUAAAUCUGUAAUCACUUUGGGUGGUAUGGACAUAUUAACAAUAUUAAGUCUUCCAGUCCAUGAACAUGAGGUAUUUUUCAAUUUAUUCACAUAUUCUUAAUUUCUUUCAGCAAUGUUUUAUAAUUUUUAGUGUAUGCGUCUUUCACAUUUUUGUUUAGGUUUAUUCCUAAAUGUGUUAUUUAUUUUGAUGCUAGUAUAAGCAAAAUUGUUUCCUUAAUUUUCUUUUCAGAUUAUUCAUUGUUAAUAUACAGAAACCACUGUUUCUUCACAGUAUUAAAGACAUAUGUGUCACAUAAACACAAAACCAUCAGCUCAAGGUUUUUUGUAGAUUAUUGUAGUUUUUAUUUUAUAAGAUAAUGUUGCAAUGUAAAACAUUAAAAUUUAAAGUGUUCAAUU